RNAcentral lists this ribosomal RNA (435 nucleotides) under uncultured bacterium. RNAcentral describes it as "bacterial SSU rRNA". It matches the Rfam family "Bacterial small subunit ribosomal RNA", at positions 355 to 796 of the family's 1533-position model. The record is from RNAcentral.
UCGAGGAUCUUCGGCAAUGGGCGCAAGCCUGACCGAGCGACGCCGCGUGCGCGAUGAAGGCCUUCGGGUUGUAAAGCGCUGUCGAGGGGGAGGAAAGCCCGCAAGGGUCUGACCUAUCCCUGGAGGAAGCACGGGCUAAGUUCGUGCCAGCAGCCGCGGUAAGACGAACCGUGCGAACGUUGUUCGGAAUCACUGGGCUUAAAGGGCGCGUAGGCGGGCAGCCAAGUCUGUGGUGAAAUCUUUCGGCUUAACCGGAAAAUAGCCGUGGAUACUGGCUGUCUUGAGGGAGGUAGGGGCCUGUGGAACUUCCGGUGGAGCGGUGAAAUGCGUUGAUAUCGGAAGGAACGCCGGUGGCGAAAGCGACGGGCUGGAUCUCUUCUGACGCUGAGGCGCGAAAGCUAGGGGAGCAAACGGGAUUAGAUACCCCCGUAGUCC